UUUCCGUAGGUGAACCUGAGGAAGGAUCAUUAUUGUAUAACCGAGGUGCGAGGGCUGUCGCUGACCCAGAAGGUCGUGCACGCCCGAGUGCCCUCACACACAUCCAUCUCACCCCUAUGUGCACCACCGCGUGGGUCCCCCUUUGGCUUGUUCGGAGGGGGGCUUGCGUUUUCACACAAACUUUGUAUGCAGUGUAGAAUGUAUUUUUUGUUUUUGCGAUCACGCAAUCAAUACAACUUUCAACAACGGAUCUCUUGGCUCUC
This 263-nucleotide unclassified non-coding RNA is filed under the name plant metagenome. RNAcentral's name for it is "partial contains small subunit ribosomal RNA, internal transcribed spacer 1, and 5.8S ribosomal RNA". The record is from RNAcentral.